GGAUGGCUUUGCGUCCAGUAAGAAAGGGAGGCUCCUGAAAA
Molecule: small RNA, 41 nt
Filed under: Archaeoglobus fulgidus
Lineage: Archaea; Methanobacteriati; Methanobacteriota; Archaeoglobi; Archaeoglobales; Archaeoglobaceae
Source: RNAcentral